Molecule: ribosomal RNA, 451 nt
Filed under: uncultured bacterium
Lineage: Bacteria
Description: partial 16S ribosomal RNA
Rfam family: Bacterial small subunit ribosomal RNA
Source: RNAcentral
AACGAACGCUGGCGGCAGGCUUAACACAUGCAAGUCGAACGGGCGUAGCAAUACGUCAGUGGCAGACGGGUGAGUAACACGUGGGAAUAUCCCUUUCAGUUCGGAAUAACUCAGGGAAACUUGAGCUAAUACCGGAUACGUCCUUCGGGAGAAAGAUUUAUCGCUGAGAGAUUAGCCCGCGUCUGAUUAGCUAGUUGGUGAGGUAAUGGCUCACCAAGGCGACGAUCAGUAGCUGGUCUGAGAGGAUGAUCAGCCACACUGGGACUGAGACACGGCCCAGACUCCUACGGGAGGCAGCAGUGGGGAAUAUUGGACAAUGGGGGAAACCCUGAUCCAGCCAUGCCGCGUGAGUGAUGAAGGCCUUAGGGUUGUAAAGCUCUUUUGCCAGGGAAGAUAAUGACUGUACCUGGAGAAUAAGCCCCGGCUAACUUCGUGCCAGCAGCCGCCGCGG